UGUUGGUCAGGCUGGUCUCAGACUCCUGACCUCAGGUGAUCUGCCCUCCUUGGCCUUCCAAAGUUCUGGGAUUACAGGUGUGAGCCACCACGUCGGGCCCAAGAAGUCUUUUAACAUCACAAAUUGGGUUCUAUCACUUGUCAGCCUAACUCUCUCCAGUGUCUUCCCAUUAUACUUAAAAUAAAAUGAAAACAUUUACCUUACAAGGGUAAAUGACCUAUGCCCAAGGCCUAGCCCUAGCUGUCUCUUGGCCUUGUUCUCAUUCCUGCUGGCCUUUUACUGUCCUCUAGCUACCCUUGUCUUUCUGUCUCUAGAAUGUGCUUUAGAGGGCUUUCUAAUGGCUAUUUGGCUUUCCCCCAAUCUCUGUGUUAUGAGCUACGUCCUGUCAUUUGGGUCUUAGUUUAAACUCACUGUUUAGAAACCUUCUCUGACCUCCCUACCUAAAACAGUCUCUACCCUCGACCAAUUACUUUGCUAUUAUCUGAAAUUCCUUCUACUUGAAUGUAAGAUUCUUGAGGCAGAGACCUCUGAUGCCAGAGGUCUGAUGGCAGUUAAGCAAGACAGGUGAAGUCAUUAGAGUCUCUAUUGCCUAAAACAGUACUUGGGACAUGGUGGCCAUUCAGUAAAUAUUUAUUGAUAAAUGAACAUAAUGAGUGAUUGAAUAGUUAUAUCUCCGGAAGGCACAUGGCUUUUCUGAGAGCAACCUUUUAGAUUCCCGUGGCUUAAAGGGUAUAUGACACCAACUCAGGACAGCCAGAGGCUAACCUACCAAUUCUAUUCCUCCAAACUAUUCCUGCCACCUCCCAAACUAAAACUUGUGGAGAAGUUUGUCUCCUCCAGUGUCUCAGCAGCAAGUGAAGGUUGGGGAAGACCAAGAACCUGGAUAUGACAGAGGUCUCCUCCGAUUUGCUGUGUUUUAUAGGACCCUGGAAGGCAACUCUUGGACUUGAGCUUAGCGCAACAGCUAUAUUUGUAGUGGUGUCUUCAAGAAAAGCCAAACUCUAGAAUAUUCUCUCUAAUAGACAUGCCUAGUACAUUUUAGGAGAAUUCCAUUAACUAAAUAGAAACUUCAGACUUCAGAAUCAGUCAUCAGUUAUAUGUAAAAACCUUUCUCCAGAUAGACUCAUCCCGUUUUUCAGUUAUGAGCCUGUUACUUGCUUGGUGCUGGACAGUCUUCACUGAAAUUGGGUUAUGGUUAUUAAAGAAAUGUCUGUUUCAUUUGUUCUUUUGUUUUUCUAGAAUACAACAUGUUUCUUAUUUGAAAUCAAAGGCUGAGUUUUCUGAGGGUUAUUUGUUAUCUGAUUAGACUACCCCAGUGUGAGGACCAGGGGGCUCUGAAGGCCACUGACCAUUCCUCUCUGGUCCAUUGGUUACAGUUGCCCCCCCAGGGUUCCAGGAGGGAUGGAAGCUAGGCCUCUUUGACCCUGCUUAACAGUGAUGUGCUAUCUCUGAACUCUGAAUCAUACUGAACCAAUUCUGGCUGGACAUCAUUAGCCAUUCCUGUUCAUUACUGAUUCAGCCCUGAAUCUGAGAGCACAGUACACAUCUGUCUGAAGCCCUCUAGACAAAUGGAUGAAUCCUCCCUCUGUUCUGUACUGACGCUGUUCAAUGCAUAUUAGAAACUGGAUACUCUAAUGACAUCCUGAAAGUGUAUAAAGCCUUGACCUUUCUCUGUUUUUGAUUCAUGGGUGUAAAAGCAUGCAAAUCUUAGGAGUUCAGCAGUCCACUAAAACUUUACCAGCUUCCCAACCCCAUCUAGGAAGACAGAAGUAGUCACAUAAAGAGACUUUACAACUUCUUAGCCAAGAUAAGUUGCUAAACUCUGAUAGUGCAUAUUUGUAUUAUGUGGUUCUCCAGAGGUAUUUCUUUUCUUUCCUAACACCUCUUUGUAGUCCAGAUUUCUCUUUAGGUUUUGUGGUUUAAUCAUAGCAUGAUGAGAGGCUAAUUAGGAUUUAUUUGCCCAUUUCACACACAUUCUCUCUCUCUCUCUCUCUCUCUCUCUCUGUGUGUGUGUGUGUGUGUGUGUGUGUGUGUGUGUGAAAAGAUGUGCCAGGGAGUUAAAGAGAGAAAAAUUAUAUUCCCUGCCUUUAAACUGGUAAUUUUAGCAGAGGAGAUGUGGUUUGCCUGGGAGGAACUUGUGUCGUAUGUUACAGCCAACCAGUUACAAGAGAUGCAGAGUGCCGAGUCCAGGCUGCCCUUCUGUGGAGGUAACUAGCAAACGCUUCUGGAAAUCCAGCACCUGGAGCUGGAUCUUACAAGAUAGGCAGGAUUUGGACAUGUAGAAGUAAACAUUCCAGGUGGAAAUAGUGCUGAGCAAUGCUGGAGCAGGCUAGGGAAGGAAGACCUGAGUUCUCUCCCUCCUGCCAUUCUUGGGUGGCUUCUGGUGGGCAAGGGUUUUGUUUUGUUCAGUCUGUAAGCUGAGCAUAAGGACAGGACAGUGCCUGGCCCACAGCAGUGCUCAUCUAUUUGUUCAGUGAGUGGAAGAAGCUUAGGAUAAUGAAAAUAGCUAACGUUUAUGGAACAGUUCUGCUUACCAGGCCUGUGCUGAGCUCUUUUAGGCACAUUAUUUCCCUUCAUCCUCAUGACCAUCUUGUUAGUUGCUGUUGUAAUUAUCCUUUAAUAGGUGAAGAUAAAUGGUAGAGCUGGCAUCGGAAAUGGGGCUAUCUGGGUUCAGAACCCAAACUCUUCCCCUGAACUCUGCUACCUAGAAAGAGAUUGGUGCCCAACCCCAGAGGGCAUGAAGCCACACCAAGGUGGUUAAGCUGUUUUUUAAGCAUACUCUUAGUGUUCAUUGAAGGUUUUUGAGCAGGCUCCUAGGGUGUUCCAAGUUACAUCUUGGAAAGUAAAAAAAUUAUGGUGGUGUCUCAGCCAACUUGAGGAUGAAUAAAAGGUUCCUAGAAAAUAGUUCAGUGGGUAAGAGGUAAUGAGAUUGAGGGUGGAUUACUGGAAUGUUAGGGGAACUAGUUGGGUACUAGUUUGAGCAUUUGGCAUUGGUAGGUAGUUACCAGAAUUACUAGAGGCAUCUGAAAGUAAUUUAAGACACAGCUUGUGCUUAGCACACAGUAAAUCCUCAAUAAAAUGCUUUUAAUUUCUCUACAAUACUUAACUGUUUUGGAACUUUGAAUCUCCCUCACCUAAGGAAGGCCUGUUUGCAGACAUCUUGUGCAUUAUGCCUAUAAACAAUAUUUCUUUAGUUCUCCGCCAUAGUUCUACUUGAAAACCCAGCCUUUCAAGAAAAACAGAGAGGACCAGGUUGUUUCCACUAACUGCUUACGUUUUACAAGCUAUUAUUUUUAACACAAAGUAUAGUGCAACACAGAACACAUUACAGAGCACUAUAGUUUGUAAAGUAAUCCCAGGAUUUAUAAACAUGGGAAUUCACAUUACACACCUAGUAUGUGAUCUGAUAAUGGGAUCCAAAAAAUGCAAGGCACUUUGAGGUCUGGCUGGUGGUCCCACUGCUUUCUUCCCCAUUUCUCUUUUUUACCCACAUUCUACGCCCUCUUGUGAGAGGACUUUCAGAUGAUUGCCUCAGAGGCACCUGAAUAGUUUAUGGGCUGGUCUUAUUAGAAUUGUUUGGUAGCUUGGAUUAAAACAGUGAAAUAUAAGAAGGGUACUGGAGGUCCAUUAAUAGGACUCACAGCUGUCAGUCUGAGAGCCCAGUGCUAGCUCCUGCUGUGUGCUUGUUUCCGGACUUCCCUGAAACAUCCUUGCAAAAAAGUUCACUUGUGCUUUUUGGGUGUUUUCUCCUCGGAAAAGAGACAAAUCCCAGGGCCCUUGUUUAGUACCUUACCUGUGGAUAAUUACAGCAAACUGAUGCAAACAAGGAAAGGACUUAGAACAAGCUUUAGGAUCUUUCUGCUCUUAAUGUGUGUGCUGACUCUCAGUAUUGCUGUCAGCAUCUAGACUUGAGCAUGCAGAUCUGUUGGUCAUGCCUGAUGAUCUUUGAUUUGAGUUGCAAAGUCAGAUAAUGCCAAAAUUGGAGCAGCCUAGUGAAAAAAUGCUCUGGGCUCACAGCAUGGGGCAUCAGCUGUCUCUGCAGCUCUCAGGGCCCUGACAGUCUUUCCCUGCCAAGAGAGGGGUGAACAUGGAAGGUCACAGCAAGUUCAGUGGGAAAGUGGCUUCAGGGCAGAGUUUUGGUUGGCUGUGGUUGUGGAGGAAGUUAAUUUCAAAGCUCAUUUAGAGAGGGUUUAAAAACAAAUUUCUUUAAAAAAGUGCUCCUUUUAUGUGAACACAGCUGCUGCAUGGGGCUGUGACAGUGCCUCCUGGACUUGUGCAACAAGGCAGUCCUCGCAGGAAUACUACACAGAUUGCUUUUAGUAAAUUUGAUUUACUGGAGAAAGUAGUCACAUCAGUUGUUUAGCCAGUGUUUACUGAGAGCCUCCUUGGUCUUGAGAAUACAGAACAGAAUGAUACAUGCAUCCGGCCCUGAGAAACUCGUGCCUAGAGAGACCCUAUGUCCAUGUGGUGUGGCCUGGGACAUUCCCUGUUUAUGCCUUUUGUCCUGGUAUAAGAGCACUCUCUUUGAACCUCAAAGUUCCGCACUUCAGAUGAUAAAUUACACAGUUACCUUAUUCAUAGACUAGCGAUGGGAGGCAAAUACGUGAACUCUCCUCUCAUCACAGAAUCCAGCCUCCUCCUUGUCCUUUCCUUGCCCGCUAUACAACUUCUCUUCUCUGGCAGCGGUAGUCCCCUUGUCCGCCUGCGUUCUCCUGCUUAUCCCAGUGUCCCAGUCUUUCUUACCCCAUAGCUGCCGCAGGAACCCAGAACUUAUUUAGGGACCAGGAAGAUAAGCUUUCAUGCCAGCUGCAGCCCCCUUGAGCAUACUCUGGUUGUGGCUUUCCCUCUCUUUUCUUCUCAAACUGUGUUUGGGAAAAAAUUUUAUUUGCUCAUGGCUGCUUGUGUUCUCCCUAUGCUCCAGUUCUCUGGGUCGUUUCGGUGAUAAUCUGUACCUCUGUCAUUCUGAUGGGCUUUCCAAGAGCAAAGUUUGAUAAAAAUGUAUGCUGGCUUCCCAUGUUUAAGUGGCAUAGCUUUGGACUUGGAUUCCUGAUUCUCUCCAUCCCUGGGAAUAAAAUACCAUGCCACAGAAAGAGCUGGGCUUUGGAGCUCCUUCGACUUGGAUGUGAGUACAGGUGAUAAAUCUGCCACUAAGACAAGGUAAAUCAAAUACAGGGUGAUGACCAAAGGCCCUUUCUGACCAAAAUCUUUGGUAAUUCUUCAGUGGUUCUAAGUUAGGAUGAAGUCCUUAAUUAUAGAAGUCAACCAUUUUAAUCAUGAUAGGAGAUUGUCCAGUGCUGGGCCGGAGAGGGUCUCAGAAAGAAUAAAUUCCUAAAACAUGGUUCGUACAAUGGAACAAGAAUGGAUAAAUGUUAGGUUUCUCCCCUUGCCCCCCACCUGCCCUUUUUUGUUCCCUCCCACUCCCCGCCUUUUUUUAUCAUUGCCUUUAGCUAAGCAGUGGAUUCCUUGUUUGGAAUAAUUACAUCAUGAGUGAUAUGGUUUGACUGUGUAUUCCCACCCAAAUCUCAUCUUGUAACUCCCGUAAUUCCCACAUGUUGUGGGUGGGACCCUGUGGUCUUUCCCGUGCUGUUCUUGUGAUAGUGAAUGGGUCUCACGAUGGUUUUAAAAACGGGAGUUUCUCUUGACAAGCUCUUUCUUUGCCUGCUGCCAUCCAUGUAAGAUGUGACUUGCUCUUCCUUGCCUUUAGCCAUGUGGAACUAUAAGUCCGAUAAACCUCUUUCUUUUGUAAAUUGCUCAUUUUUGAGUAUGUUUUUAUCAGCAGCAUGAAAACAAAUGAAUAUAGUGAACUCUUAUUUUCACCCCUUGCUCAUUCUUUUUUGUUUAUUGCUCCCAAAUUUGGUCUUGCUUACUUUUGAAAUUUGAAAUCAGGAUUAGAUAAGAGUGGGAGUUAAUAUAAAAGAAGAUAAUUUCCCCAGAGCUAAGAAUUUGUUCUGAGUUCUCAGGGCCUUUUUGUUUUACAAAAAGCUGGAAGUUGAU
Sapajus apella (tufted capuchin) is the source of this 5994-nucleotide long non-coding RNA. RefSeq lists it as uncharacterized. The transcript is spliced from 2 exons. The record is from RefSeq and is a predicted model, not a curated record. NCBI's taxonomy places the organism in Eukaryota, Metazoa, Chordata, Mammalia, Primates, Cebidae.